AACGAACGCUGGCGGCAGGCUUAACACAUGCAAGUCGAACGCCCCGCAAGGGGAGUGGCAGACGGGUGAGUAACGCGUGGGAAUCUACCGUACCCUACGGAACAACAGUUGGAAACGACUGCUAAUACCGUAUACGCCCUACGGGGGAAAGAUUUAUCGGGGUAUGAUGAGCCCGCGUUAGAUUAGCUAGUUGGUGGGGUAAAGGCCUACCAAGGCGACGAUCCAUAGCUGGUCUGAGAGGAUGAUCAGCCACAUUGGGACUGAGACACGGCCCGAACUCCUACGGGAGGCAGCAGUGGGGAAUAUUGGACAAUGGGCGCAAGCCUGAUCCAGCCAUGCCGCGUGAGUGAUGAAGGUCUUAGGAUUGUAAAGCUCUUUCACCGAUGAAGAUAAUGACGGUAGUCGGAGAAGAAGCCCCGGCUAACUUCGUGCCAGCAGCCGCCGUAA
RNAcentral lists this ribosomal RNA (447 nucleotides) under uncultured bacterium. RNAcentral's name for it is "partial 16S ribosomal RNA". It matches the Rfam family "Bacterial small subunit ribosomal RNA", at positions 29 to 523 of the family's 1533-position model. The record is from RNAcentral.